AGUCAUUGAAGUCAUUUAUUGCCACCAAAAGUUUCGCCCUGCUUCUUUUUUUGCUGUCCCAAACUGUUCUUGCUCCAGUGGUGGUGCGAGCGAUGGGGCUCGAGCUCGUGCUGGGGCUCGGGCUAGGUCCGUUCCGUUCCGUUCCGUGUGCAGGAUGUGUUUACAAUUUGUGGACACGCCGACCGCCAUUUGAUUGUUCCCUUCUCGCUGCGGCUGCUCCUGCCCCGCCGCCGCGUGUUGUCGAUUCCUCCGCUAAUUCGCCAGGUGGCCCGAAACUGCGCAUUGCUUUGAUGAUUGGGGAACCCUGGCACACCCCUCUCCGGUCGUCUCCCUUAUUGGACCGACCGGCCGUGAUACGCCACUAGUUUGUUUGCUUAAGAACGGCUCGGAAGAUGACGUGCCUUGGAUUGCCCAUAAAUGAGACUUACUAAAGCAAACAUGCCAGCUGGGAUUGGGCACGGGAAUGGGGACGGGCCCUUGUCUUCUCCUCCAGCUCAGAGCGGAAAGCACGGAAACACAAUCCAAGAAAGCAGGAAGAAGCUAUCCACGUGUGUACUUGUCUUUAGAAAUUUUAAUUCGUGUGUUUUUCAAACUGUUCCAAUUUUCUGAAACUACAGUGCAUGUGUCAUGUGUGCACAUAUAUUUGGAAACAUCCG
RNAcentral lists this long non-coding RNA (656 nucleotides) under Drosophila guanche. The record is from RNAcentral. Lineage: Eukaryota; Metazoa; Arthropoda; Insecta; Diptera; Drosophilidae.